Molecule: transfer RNA, 83 nt
Filed under: Canis lupus familiaris (dog)
Lineage: Eukaryota; Metazoa; Chordata; Mammalia; Carnivora; Canidae
Rfam family: tRNA
About the family: Transfer RNA (tRNA) molecules are approximately 80 nucleotides in length. Their secondary structure includes four short double-helical elements and three loops (D, anti-codon, and T loops).
Source: Rfam by way of RNAcentral
GCCCGGGUGGCUCAGUGGUUGAGCGCCUGCCUUUGGCUCAGGCAGUGAUCUCGGGAUCCUGGGAUUGAGUCCCACAUCGGGCU